AUCUUGCCAUUUGUGUUCAGGGUCGAGGCUUAUACGAAGGGAAGACGAGGGAAGGACGAUGGAUGCGAACACGUCCACGGACGCAUCGCCCCAGCCCCGAGCUGGGUCGGCCCGCCGCUGGCAUCGCGGCAAAGGGGCAAGGCCAGGCCAGGCCCGCAGACGGUGCCUCCUAACUUCGCUGUUGACCCCAAGCACAGACUGUCCUACAAACGGGGCAGAAAGGAUGACUUGGGUUCCUAGUCAUUAGAAGUUUUUUGAGGUUUCUGUUUAAAAUUUUAAAAGAGAUUUAGAAACACUAGGCAUAUUUUGGUGGGAAAGUAGAUGAAAGACAGCUUUUUCUUUCUGCGUGAAAACCAAAAUAUAAAGAUAUGGCUUAUACUAGGUGAGCGUUCCCACCUAUAAGGGUCAAAUUCAGAAUAAAAUUGAAGAGUGUUUGAAAAUCAACUCAAUGCCAAGUAUGGAGGAUGCAAAGACGAAUUGGACAAAGUCUGUUUUCAUAAGUUUACAAUUCAGUAAGGAAAAAAGAGAACAGGACUUGUGGAGAGAACGUAUUUCAAGAAGAGUGAAUGCAAUAUGUAGUCUGGUUUGGCAAGAAAAUAAUGCUGCUGUAGAAGGGCAUGAUGAGUGAUAAGCUCCAUGGGUGCGGUUAAAGAUGUUGUGAAAGGCCUCACAUUCUCAGCUGGUUUUGAACACAAUUGAACAGAACCUUUGUAAGUGUGAAUUUGUGGUACUGGAGAAAUUGACUCUCCACAUAGGAAAAAAUUAAAGUAUUACCUGGCAAAAAUACAAAAAUAAACUCCAGCACAAGAAGACAGGGGAAGACGGUAUUGAACUGAGCAGCAGGAAAGCCAGUCUGCAAUUGAAACGUUUAAAGAAAACACUGGCGUUUUUGUAAUGGACAACUAGAUGCGAUACUUUUUUCUUAACCUCUUCUGUAAGGAAAAGCAGUUUUUGAAAAAGAAUGCCUAAUAUUCAUGCUUAAAAAUGAAAAACAAACAGCUAUAGUUUGUGUGAAAGAUCUUUAUUUUGUUUUGAACAAUAUUAAAACAAAUAAAUUAUCGGGCAGUUCAGUAACACAAUGAGCACACGUUAGAGUUAAUCUUUUAAAAGGCACCUCUGGUGCAAUUACAGUAAAGUAAUAGAGACAAUUCAAUAGUUAUUUAUCUUGCCACCUUAUAAAACUGCCUGUUCAUUUUACAUUGUUCUUUUAAUGUUCUUCAGUGAAUCGCUGCAUUUCAUAAAAAAUUCAAAGUCCUAUCAUGAAAUGUACUUCUACUGAUUGACUUAUUUUAAUUCUAUUUACUGUCAGUAACAUCAUCAAUGAAUCAUAUUUAAAAGACAUUUAAAAAUACUAUCCUUUAUUCUUGUGCUAAAGUAAUCAUUCCUUCACAGAGUCAGAAGAAAGUGUUUUAAGCACCCAAAUGUGAAUGAAGUGGAACUUUGUGAUGUAAACCUUCUCGGAAUAAAAAUUCAUGCAGAAGAGUGGUUGCCAGUUUGGGAACUCACACUCUACUGUCAACACUUGAAAAAUCCCAAGUAAUAUUAGAUAUUCACCUGAGAUAAGACUCUGCAAGAUAGGUAAAAAACAUCAAAUCGGGCUUCCUUGGUGGUGCAGUGGUUGAGAAUCCGCCUGCCAAUUCAGGGGACAUGGGUUCAAUCCCUGGUCCGGGAAGAUCCCACAUGCUG
Non-coding RNA from Delphinapterus leucas (beluga whale), 1686 nucleotides. NCBI's taxonomy places the organism in Eukaryota, Metazoa, Chordata, Mammalia, Artiodactyla, Monodontidae. The record is from RefSeq and is a predicted model, not a curated record.